UAUUAUUUAAACAGGACUUGAAAUGACUUCACCUUCUUUGUAAGAUUUCAAGAAAUGCAUUAACCCCACCUUCUUAGUUAUCCACUUUGGUUCCAAUUCCUCACUUUAUUUUAUCUUGACCUCAUGGUUGCCAGUCAACAUAUCAAAUUGGUCUAUGCCAACUUAAGUUCCCACUUUAUAUUGCAAAGAGAGAAAGAGCUCUCAAAAUCAUACCAUGUCAACUUACAUUCAUCACCCAGUGGGUCCCUUAACUCUAUAGUAACUGAGGUAGUAAUUUUGCUACACUAAAUGAAG
Molecule: unclassified non-coding RNA, 294 nt
Filed under: Hevea brasiliensis (rubber tree)
Lineage: Eukaryota; Viridiplantae; Streptophyta; Magnoliopsida; Malpighiales; Euphorbiaceae
Source: RNAcentral